AACGUAGGAGACAAACGUUAUCCGGAGUUACUGGGCGUAAAGGGCAUGCAGGUGGUCUGUUAAGUCUGGCGUGAAAGCUCUCGGCUAAACCGGGAGAGGUCGUUGGAUACUGGCGGACUAGAGGACGGUAGAGGCGUGUGGAAUUCCGGGUGUAGUGGUGAAAUGCGUAGAGAUCCGGAGGAACACCAGUGGCGAAGGCGACACGCUGGGCCGUACCUGACACUAAAACGCGACAGCAUGGGGAGCGAACGGG
RNAcentral lists this ribosomal RNA (253 nucleotides) under uncultured bacterium. Its description in RNAcentral is "partial 16S ribosomal RNA". It matches the Rfam family "Bacterial small subunit ribosomal RNA", at positions 524 to 776 of the family's 1533-position model. The record is from RNAcentral.